AGAUGUUUAGAAGAAAUGUCAUGCAGCUCGGGCGCCAGGGGAUGCAGGUAAGGUGCAGGGGUGUGUGACAAGACUACAAGCCUGUUUCACGCCAGUUGACGCUUCUUUCAGAGGCCAGUGAAGCUAAACAAUCCACGAAAGCUAAACACAGGAAAAAUUUGAGUAAUACACAGUACAUUGCACACAAAGUAAGGCCUUCACACUCAAAGAGAUUUAGGAAAAUACACUAGUUACCUGCCAACCAUAAACGUGAUGAAAACCAUUUUGCAGAGUGGAUAUUAAUGAAAACCUUUUUGAACAUGACAGAUUUACCUGUGCAGUGUCACAUAAACCUUACCGCUAAUGGGAAAACACCUAUUAAGGAAAGAUCCGUGUAUCCUAUGGACUACUUCUGAAUCGGAAGACUACUACUAUGAGUAAGGACAUGCUGGGAGUUGUAGUGGUGCAGCGCAGGAAGCAGGAGAUGUGGUGCAGCGCGGACAUAAAUUCCUGACCACUGCAAAGUGAAAGCUGAAAAUUGCUUAGGGUAAUGGAAACCAAAAAUAACACGCUGUGAUUAAAUUGGCGCCAAAUCACAGGCUACCGCAUUGGCAAACUCAGCUAUGCUACAUCUGUAAGAACAAGAUAACAGGGAGAUGACCAAUUGUUGAUUCCAAAAGUGAUUGUUUGAAGAAAGAAUAAAUUCAUUCUAGAAGCAGAAAGUCUUUGGAAGCGACUGACCUCCUGCAAUAUAUGAGCCUUCAAGCAAAUCAGAAGAUUUAAAACAAAGUUAUGGCUAAACCUGCCAUUAAUAAUGUAUGUAAAAUAAAUCGGGUUUCAACUAUAAUUGAAGACUUAAUAAAUAUACCAGUCACAAUGUGUGAGAAACACAAUGUCCUGGACCUGUCAUAGAUUUAAAGCGCAAAUAAAUA
Long non-coding RNA from Hyla sarda, 911 nucleotides. RefSeq lists it as uncharacterized. Lineage: Eukaryota; Metazoa; Chordata; Amphibia; Anura; Hylidae. The record is from RefSeq and is a predicted model, not a curated record. The transcript has 6 exons.